ACUUAGGAAAGAUUCUUCGGAUGAUUUCCUAUUUGACUGAGCGGCGGACGGGUGAGUAACGCGUAUGUAACCUACCUAUAACAGGGGCAUAACACUGAGAAAUUGGUACUAAUUCCCCAUAAUAUUCGGAGAGGCAUCUCUCCGGGUUGAAAACUCCGGUGGUUAUGGAUGGGCAUGCGUUGUAUUAGCUGGUUGGAGGGGUAACGGCCCACCAAGGCGACGAUCAGUAGCCGGUCUGAGAGGAUGAACGGCCACACUGGAACUGAGACACGGUCCAGACUCC
This 283-nucleotide ribosomal RNA is filed under the name uncultured Alistipes sp. RNAcentral describes it as "partial 16S ribosomal RNA". The stretch from base 46 to 283 matches the Rfam family "Bacterial small subunit ribosomal RNA", at positions 100 to 339 of the family's 1533-position model. Lineage: Bacteria; Pseudomonadati; Bacteroidota; Bacteroidia; Bacteroidales; Rikenellaceae. The record is from RNAcentral.